This 119-nucleotide ribosomal RNA is filed under the name Pteropus alecto (black flying fox). Lineage: Eukaryota; Metazoa; Chordata; Mammalia; Chiroptera; Pteropodidae. The record is from RNAcentral.
CUCUAUGGCCAUGCCACCUUAAACAAGCCCGAUCCCAUCCGAUCUUGGAAGCUAAGCAGGGUUGGGCCUGGUUAGUACUUGGAUGGGAGACCACCUAGGAAGACCAGGUGCUGUAGGCA